RNAcentral lists this ribosomal RNA (254 nucleotides) under uncultured bacterium. RNAcentral's name for it is "partial 16S ribosomal RNA". It matches the Rfam family "Bacterial small subunit ribosomal RNA", at positions 524 to 776 of the family's 1533-position model. The record is from RNAcentral.
UACGUAGGGCGCAAGCGUUGUCCGGAUUUAUUGGGCGUAAAGAGCUCGUAGGCGGUUCGAUAAGUCGGACGUGAAAUCUCCACGCUCAACGUGGAGGGGCCGUUCGAUACUGUCGUGACUCGAGUCCGGUAGGGGAGUGUGGAAUUCCCGGUGUAGCGGUGAAAUGCGCAGAGAUCGGGAGGAACACCCGUAGCGAAGGCGGCACUCUGGGCCGGUACUGACGCUGAGGAGCGAAAGCGUGGGGAGCAAACAGG